Molecule: ribosomal RNA, 254 nt
Filed under: uncultured bacterium
Lineage: Bacteria
Description: partial 16S ribosomal RNA
Rfam family: Bacterial small subunit ribosomal RNA
Source: RNAcentral
UACGUAGGGUGCGAGCGUUAAUCGGAAUUACUGGGCGUAAAGCGUGCGCAGGCGGUUAUUUAAGUCAGGUGUGAAAGCCCUGGGCUUAACCUAGGAAUUGCGCUUGAGACUGGAUAGCUUGGAGUGCGGCAGAGGGAGGUGGAAUUCCACGUGUAGCAGUGAAAUGCGCAGAUAUCAGGAGGAACACCGGUGGCGAAGGCGGGUCGCUGGGCCGAUACUGACGCUGAGGAGCGAAAGCGUGGGGAGCGAACAGG